This 341-nucleotide unclassified non-coding RNA is filed under the name plant metagenome. RNAcentral describes it as "partial contains small subunit ribosomal RNA, internal transcribed spacer 1, and 5.8S ribosomal RNA". The record is from RNAcentral.
UUUCCGUAGGUGAACCUGCGGAAGGAUCAUUAAUGAAAAUUAUAAAAAAACGCCAAAGUGAAAUGUGCACGUGUGUUUUUUCAAUCUCUUUUUUUCAUUUUUUUUUUGAUUUGAUUCUUUUUUUUUAUAUAAAAAAAAAGAAGAGGAAAGAAUUAAAGUGAAAAAAAAAAGAGAUAUGAAAAAAUCAAAAAACUUUUAAAACCCUUUAUAAAAUAAAAUAUAGUUUGUCAAUUAUUAUUGUUUCUUUUUUUUUUCACACGACUUUUAUCAAUUGAAAAAAAAGAGAGACGUAAAAUAUAAAAUGAAAAAAAAAACUUUUAACAACGGAUCUCUUGGCUCUC